GUCGUGGCCGACUCUGGGGUUGUGGCGCUCAUCUCACUUUAUUGGCCAAGGGAGCCAGCCUUCUGGGUCAUGUGGCCAGCAUGACUAAGCCGCUUCUGGCGAACCAGAGCAGCGCAUGGAAACGCCGUUUACCUUUCCGCCGGAGCGGUACCUAUUUAUCUACUUGCACUUUGACGUGCUUUCGAACUGCUAGGUUGGCAGGAGCAGGGACCGAGCAACGGGAGCUCACCCCGUCGUGGGGAUUCGAAUCGCCGACCUUCUGAUCGGCAAGCCCUAGGCUCUGUGGUUUAACCCACAUCGCCAUCCGCGUCCCAGCUGCCUUGAGCAUGGAUUAAACUUUGGAAAGGUGGCAUACAAAUAAAAUGACUGAUUGAUUGAUGUA
Molecule: long non-coding RNA, 382 nt
Organism: Podarcis raffonei (Aeolian wall lizard)
Lineage: Eukaryota; Metazoa; Chordata; Lepidosauria; Squamata; Lacertidae
Exons: 2
Source: RefSeq, a predicted model, not a curated record